UGAGUGCAACCUCGCACCCAGUCGUUAUUUGCGGUCAUCCACAGGAAUCCUGAAGCGGAGGAGAAUUCCAACCCCGACCGCCAUGCACCAUUCGCUUCUUCAACCUCCCCAGAAUGCAUCGCGCAUACCCGUACUGAAAUAACUGGUUAAAACAUUGGUUAAUAAGACUACCUCGAGUUUGUAAAAUCUGGAGCAUAUAAGCCAGAGGAACAACUUGGUUGUCUGGUCCACAUAAAUGUCCAGGGCAAGAACUGCAUCAAAUUGUAAUAAUUCAGUUAUCUAAGUAAAUACUGAUGCAAAAAAACACCCCUUUCCUUUGUCAACCCAUAUGGAAAGAAAAUAGCAGAGCACUUACCACGGAUACCCUUGCGGUAGAAGAGAUUAUGCAACCUUAAGCCUGAAAUAAUCUGGUCAUUGUAAACCUAAACACAGAGAAUAUUUUAGUUCAGAAAUGCAUAGUGUUAAAGAUACAGCUCUGAACAGUGUAUCACUACCUAUACUAGGCUCACACCAAUAAAAUGUGUCUCAUGUUUGCUAGAAUGGUUUCAAAUACAGCAAUGUGACACUUGAAUUUUUCAUGUCUCAGAUGUACUACAGGCACUGCAUAAAGCGGACCCAGCAUAUCCUCCAAAUUUACAAGCAUAGAAUAGAAAGUUUUUGACAUUUCCUUACUUAAAGAACAAGGUGAAGGGGUUAGGGCAAUCAACAGCUGGAAUAUCAGUACACUACAGAUGCAUUAUAUGCUUUCUGUAAUUUCUAGUGUUUUUAAAUAGCUACCCAUCCAGACGUUUUAUAAUACAAAAAAGCUUUCUUUAUUUGAAGUGGAAAAAUAUAAAUAUAUGUAUUUUUUAUUUAUUGUUUUUUUGCUUGGUAUGCCUGAAAAAAAAAACUGAAAAAAAAAAACAUUGAAAAAAAGUUUUGAUUCUCCUGCAACUCCAAAUGCUAUGCUCCGGAAAAUUCAUUACUACUAUUUUAUUCCAGCAUAUACCUACAAUAAAUUAAAUGAUUUCGAGUGGUGGCUUGUUUCUUAUGCCCUUUAAAAUGCUGUAGGUUCAUAGCUGUCAACGUAACUUGCACAGAAAUCUUUUUAAAUCGGGUGAAAUGCAGAGGAUGUAUAAACAUUCUCACAAAAAUUAGGCUUGGUGAUGAGGUGCUAAAUCUUGUGACACCUGCCUAAUGUGUGAGUUGACAGCCUUGUAGGUUGAUUGUUUGGUUUUGUGUUUACCAUAUAAUUCGGUGAAGAGAUUUUAUACCAGCUCGACAAGGUUUGGAUGAAAUUUAGUGCUCAACUAGUCCUCUCUAUUUCAG
This is a long non-coding RNA of Nematostella vectensis (starlet sea anemone), 1308 nucleotides long. RefSeq lists it as uncharacterized. The transcript has 2 exons. NCBI's taxonomy places the organism in Eukaryota, Metazoa, Cnidaria, Anthozoa, Actiniaria, Edwardsiidae. The record is from RefSeq and is a predicted model, not a curated record.